This 408-nucleotide ribosomal RNA is filed under the name uncultured bacterium. RNAcentral's name for it is "partial 16S ribosomal RNA". It matches the Rfam family "Bacterial small subunit ribosomal RNA", at positions 28 to 526 of the family's 1533-position model. The record is from RNAcentral.
GACGAACGCUGGCGGCGUGCUUAACACAUGCAAGUCGAACGCAGUGGCGAACGGGUGAGUAAUGCGUGGGUAACCUGCCCUCCUUUUUGGGAUAAGCCUUCGAAACGGAGUCUAAUACCGAAUAAAGGGGGAUGGGCUCGCGGCCUAUCAGCUUGUUGGUGGGGUGAUGGGCUACCAAGGCGGUGACGGGUUGCGGGCCUGAGAGGGGGAACGGCGACUGAGGGACGGGGAUAAGGCCCAGGGGAGGAAGGGGGGCAGAAGCGGGGGAUAUGGAAGAAAGGGUGAAAGAGUGAUGCAGCGAAGACGAGGGGGGGAUUAAGGCUGUCGGGUUGUAAACCUAGAGAGCUAGAGAACGGGUAGGUGGAGAAGAAGCGCCGGCUAACUACGUGCCAGCAGCCGCGGUAAUAC